Molecule: ribosomal RNA, 165 nt
Filed under: Suaeda calceoliformis
Lineage: Eukaryota; Viridiplantae; Streptophyta; Magnoliopsida; Caryophyllales; Amaranthaceae
Description: 5.8S ribosomal RNA
Rfam family: 5.8S ribosomal RNA
About the family: 5.8S ribosomal RNA (5.8S rRNA) is a component of the large subunit of the eukaryotic ribosome.
Source: RNAcentral
AUAAUGACUCUCGGCCAAGGAUAUCUCGGCUCUCGCAUCGAUGAAGAACGUAGCGAAAUGCGAUACUUGGUGUGAAUUGCAGAAUCCCGUGAACCAUCGAGUCUUUGAACGCAAGUUGCGCCCGAAGCCUUCUGGCCGAGGGCACGUCUGCCUGGGCGUCACGCA